CCUACGGGAGGCUGCAGUGAGGAAUAUUGGUCAAUGGACGAGAGUCUGAACCAGCCAAGUAGCGUGAAGGAUGACUGCCCUAUGGGUUGUAAACUUCUUUUAUAUGGGAAUAAAAUGUUCCACGUGUGGGAUUUUGUAUGUACCAUAUGAAUAAGGAUCGGCUAACUCCGUGCCAGCAGCCGCGGUAAUUCGGAGGAUCCGAGCGUUAUCCGGAUUUAUUGGGUUUAAAGGGAGCGUAGGUGGAUUGUUAAGUCAGUUGUGAAAGUUUGCGGCUCAACCGUAAAAUUGCAGUUGAAACUGGCAGUCUUGAGUACAGUAGAGGUGGGCGGAAUUCGUGGUGUAGCGGUGAAAUGCUUAGAUAUCACGAAGAACUCCGAUUGCGAAGGCAGUUCACUGGACUGCAACUGACACUGAGGCUCGAAAGUGUGGGUAUCAAACAGGAUUAGAUACCCUUGUAGUC
Molecule: ribosomal RNA, 460 nt
Filed under: uncultured bacterium
Lineage: Bacteria
Description: partial 16S ribosomal RNA
Rfam family: Bacterial small subunit ribosomal RNA
Source: RNAcentral